GAUGGAGAACCACUCCAACCCCUCGCUGCCCGCGACCGCCGCCAUCACGUAGAACUUCUGCACCACGAACACGCAUCCUGCUGCCACCUCCUUGUCCAUGAUGGUGGCGCCGUUGACUCCGCUGAUCUGAACUUGUCCGCUGCCUCUGGUGAUGUACACGAGCUGGAUGUCGGGGAAGAACCCCGGGACGCGCAUGGCGUUGGGCUCGAGCUUGGUGAUGUUGAUGGAGAACCUGAACCGCCCUUCCAGGGCGGCGAGGUUGUCCUUGGUCAUCGACACGACGUGGCCGCCACAGGGGACGUGGUUGCUGAACCGGGCGCUGUCCUCGUGCAGGACGAUCCCGUGGCGGUCGCGGUCGUGAGUCUUGACGCACAGCUUCUUCUCCGGUUUGAUGAUCUGGAUGCCGGCCUGGCUCGAGAAGAGCUUGGCCGCCGCUUCUUGGCUCACUCCGCUGGCCUU
RNAcentral lists this long non-coding RNA (459 nucleotides) under Musa acuminata (dwarf banana). Its description in RNAcentral is "long non-coding RNA (MACU_LNC001575)". Lineage: Eukaryota; Viridiplantae; Streptophyta; Magnoliopsida; Zingiberales; Musaceae. The record is from RNAcentral.